AGUGAACGCUGGCGGUAGGCCUAACACAUGCAAGUCGAACGGCAGCACAGUAAGAGCUUGCUCUUACGGGUGGCGAGUGGCGGACGGGUGAGGAAUACAUCGGAAUCUACUUUUUCGUGGGGGAUAACGUAGGGAAACUUACGCUAAUACCGCAUACGACCUACGGGUGAAAGCAGGGGAUCUUCGGACCUUGCGCGAUUGAAUGAGCCGAUGUCGGAUUAGCUAGUUCGCGGGGUAAAGGCCCACCAAGGCGACGAUCCGUAGCUGGUCUGAGAGGAUGAUAGGCGACACUAGAACUGAGACACGGUCCAGGCUACUACGGGAGGCAGCAGUGGGGAAUAUUGGACAAUGGGCGCAAGCCUGAUCCAGCCAUACCGCGUGGGUGAAGAAGGCCUUCGGGUUGUAAAGCCCUUUUGUUGGGAAAGAAAAGCAGCAGGUUAAUACCCCGCUGUUCUGACGGUACCCAAAGAAUAAGCACCGGCUAACUUCGUG
This 492-nucleotide ribosomal RNA is filed under the name uncultured bacterium. RNAcentral's name for it is "partial 16S ribosomal RNA". It matches the Rfam family "Bacterial small subunit ribosomal RNA", at positions 29 to 507 of the family's 1533-position model. The record is from RNAcentral.